ACCGAUCUAUCGAACGUUGAGUGGCAAACUUCGGUUCCUUCUUGAAUAGGUAUACAUAACCUGUCAAAUAUCGGACAACUGUUUUAGAUAGGCUGAUGUACGAGUUCAUCGUAUCGGAUAUACAUCGACUAUGAAAAUAGGGACAUUAAAGUUCUAGAAUUUCAUGAAGAUCCAUGGUUGUUGCAGACAACUGCGUCUAAAUCGUAGGAUACGGCAGCUGAAAUUUUAUGCGAUCGCGUGAUCACGCCUCCUCCACGAGUUUUCACGAGUGUUCUUGACUCGAAUGCAACGGAAUGUCUGAAUAUAUAAUAAUCAAAAAAUGUUUCUCGUGAUGGAUGAGAAAGUAGAAGUGCCAAAAGCAGCGAGCUGAAUCGGAAGUUAAGAAGUUAACGAUUAUUUUCCAUGGUUCUUAAGCAUUAACAAACGAGAAAAAAUUCCCAUACCGACCACUGUAUCGUGUUUACAGGUACUGGGCCAACGUAUUGUAGCCAAGUAUACGUUGCAGAGGACUACGGGCAGUAUAACACAUAAAACGGGCGCAUAAACGAGAUGCUAUCGGAGUUGGAGGAGGUUCCGCGUAAUCUAUCCAAUUAUCGUUCGAUCAGAGCUGUAUCCGUGAUUGUUGGGACCCCCAGCCACCGAGAGAAACUUGACUGCGAUGAAGAGCAUAAGGGAUAUCUGUACAGAAAGUUCCUAUCCAAUGCUCUAUUACAAACCGAAUAAUAUCCGAGAAAAGCAAAGCAAGCGUUUUAGAAAGAAAAUAAAAAUUACAAUAAAAUAUUGUAAAAUAACACUAUAAUUACCAGUAACCAACGCAAAUCUUUAAAAACAAUGAAUAAAUCUUGUGAUUCAGCAUAUCCACUCGUCGCCAUCCAGCUAAUUAUCAAGGAUUUAUUAGUUAUCGAGCGUAGAACCACUUGCUUCUUCAUCGAACUCGAUUCACGGUUCGGUUUCGCAGGGUGGGGUCACCGAAGGUUGCGCAACUCGUGGCUAUUGCGCGGCGGUGCUGCCUUCCACACGAUUGCCACUUUAAGUGCGCCAUAAUGGCAGUGGGCUCGCUAAGAAGAACGCGAUCUUAAGAAACGGCUCACGGUGCCUUAGUACAGGGCUCGCCGUCCGUCUCGGUUUCGCUCGCUCUCUCGUAAGGCUAGCCGUCUCGAUCGCUCAGGGCCCCGCGGAUGCGGAUCGCCGUUGGGCCUUUCACUGGGGCCUGCGGGCUACAGGUCGCGACCUCAACGUGGUCCACUCCCUCUUCCCUUCCCGCCCCUUCGUUCUUUCUCCUCCUGUUUCUUUCGACUCCUUCGCCGCUCUCCAUCCUUCUCCUUCUUCCCUACACCUCCAUCCUGCCUCCUUUUCUUUUUCUCCAAACAUUUUUACCUCCCUUCUCUCUUACCUUUGUGCUUUACCUAACCCGGCUCCCUUUGCCUACUCGCUCCUCUCCGUCUUCACUCCACCGCCGUCUCGUUGCCACUCUCCUCUCGUCCCCGUUGUCCAAGAUAUCCCGAGUCGUCUAUUCUUAGUCACUCUCGUUAAGCGAACCCAACACGGUGAUCAAUGGGAGUUUCCAACGGCUUAACUUCAUCCGGUGGAUAGAUGCAUCUCUGGCCGGAUAGAUUUGGGUUAUCGCCGGUCGGGAUGUUCGAUCGGAGGUUGACAACGUGAAAACGGGUUCCUCUCUACCUUCCUUGGGAAUAUAAGAGAAGACGAUGCGCUCCGCUCGUGAUAUCGACGUAGGUUCGCGACGUUCCCGCGAGAAGAAGCGGCUUGCCCUGAUUUUCGAGUCGAGCGCAUACGUACAUCGGCCGACUCGUGAUCACGACCUCCGCGAUCGGAAGAGCUUAAUCAUGUCCCGGGAACGUUGCAUAUACGGCGUAUACGCGACGAGUGGUAUAACUUGGUGGAGAGAGAAAAAUCGUUUAUUCAUUUCAAUGUAUAUAUAUAUAUAUAUAUAUGUAGGAAUCAAUUUUAUAGUCGAGUCACUUAAUUUCUCCUGACUACGAUUAACCUUACGUUCUAGUUCUAUUUAGUAAUCGGAAUUUAAUCGCACGUUCAUCGACCAACGCACAGAAUUACGCGAAUUUCUCGGCUGCCUCGGUUUUAUUUACGCUUCAUCACAGUUGCCUCGUUAGGAGGAACACUCGCGGCUGUAAUUAACUCUAACCGCGAACCUUUGGAAUUUAUACCGAUACGAUUUUUGUCAUAAAUUCUGCUACUUCUUUCUAACUGUAUAUACAUCAGGUAGAUCGACGUAUACCAUCGAUUAUCAUUGCUCCGUUAUCGUAGCGUAACAAGCUUGAAAACGCAGGAGAAUGAUUCGUAGCCAGUUUUCAGACAUAUUUGAAAGAUUCUUCAGACAAUUGCUCUCAAACUGUAUGUUCAUUUAAGAGCAACGUUCGAAAUUUGUCAUAAAUUGAUGACAGAAUAUUCCGAAAGUUUUGUUGUUAAUUAAAAUUAUAAUCAUAUUUCUUUUUAUCAAUCAACAGUUAUUCUCAGAAACUGUAUCGGAAUUAAUUUAGAAAAUUCUCUUUUUCAGAUAGUUACCCUCAAUAUCGUGAUAAAUACUUUCAAGAAGAGCUUGCUAUAAUUUCACUCUCAAGUGGACACGUACCUUUCGACCGCAAUUUGUUCAAAUAAUUCGAAAGCAUCGGAUAUAUUAAUUUCACGCGGGUGAAGGGUACCCCGCGGUAAUUUUCAAAUUACAAGUUGGCCGCAGGCGAAGUACAGACCGUGGCCGUUCAGCCACACUGGCCUUUAAGACAUUGUCUAAAUAAUAGUCUAAUGGAUAAGGUAUUCCAGGGCUGGGACCAAGCCGAUGGUGCCGCUUCCAAGAGUUGCUGCAUUGUGGUUACGCCAGUGUUUUAGAGGUUCUGGAAGUGGGUGCUCGGGCCGUUUUCUCCGGCAAACUGCCUCGUCCCUGGAUCCCCGGCUUGCACUUCAUUGGCCGCUCAACGGUCGUUGCUAACCCGGUUCUUGAAGAUUCAUCCCCGUGUGUCUCGUGCCGACGUGGCCUGAGCUCUUAUGGUUCCUGAACGUAUUUACGCGAGGUACUCGAGUGAUCAUCCUCCGACGGAAGUCCUUGGAUGGACGACUUCUCCGAUGGAAAAAAGUGUUCGAAAGGUUAAUCUCAUUACGAGACCCUUGGGAUCGAGAUGUGGCCGGGGAUCGGGAAGAUUUCUCAACACGAGGAAGCUUUGAUGUCGGAAGAAUUGACACUGGUUAUCGCCGGUGAAGCAAAUAAUCAUCUCGACGAUGCUCUUUCGAAAAGAAACAUAGAAGCUAUACCUAUAGCGAAGAAGCGCGGUAACGACGAGUGGAGAUCAUAACAGUUACCUUCCAGGAAUCAAUUGGAUCGCGAUGCUGAACAGUUAUACCAAUGCCAUUCCCUGUCCUAGACAAUCGUGCUUGACAGUUGUACAAGGAUCGGCAAAGAAGCUUUCUCAACCACGAUCCUUCGCCGAAAGAAAUUCUGUAAUUAAAAACUCUCGGGACAAGAAGAGGAACAACUUACGGAGUUCGUUCACCCGUGUAUCUCGAAAUGGACGAAAGUUUCACCUCGGAGUGGAAGUUGUAUAAAUUGUCCUUGGGAUGAAUGAACCGUCACGUCCGUUUUACCGAUAACCAUUUUUUCUGCGUUCUGACGUAAACGAUUGUUACACAUCCGGAUUUAUCUAGAUUUACAAAACAGCAUCAUAAAAUAAAUUGUCAAGCUUAACACAA
Apis cerana (Asiatic honeybee) is the source of this 3717-nucleotide long non-coding RNA. RefSeq lists it as uncharacterized. The record is from RefSeq and is a predicted model, not a curated record. Lineage: Eukaryota; Metazoa; Arthropoda; Insecta; Hymenoptera; Apidae.